Long non-coding RNA from Chinchilla lanigera (long-tailed chinchilla), 276 nucleotides. RefSeq lists it as uncharacterized. The record is from RefSeq and is a predicted model, not a curated record. The transcript is spliced from 3 exons. Lineage: Eukaryota; Metazoa; Chordata; Mammalia; Rodentia; Chinchillidae.
GGAUAAACAGCUUUGCUUCUCAUGGUCUCUGCAGACUUGGGAGGCAGAAGAAGAAAAAAUGAUAUAUCUCAAGUAGGGAUAACUGAUACUGUCAGAGGAGAUACUGUAUGUCCACUUUAAACUGCAGUUUUAGAGCACUUCAUUUGGUGGAACUAACAAAGGCAAAGCAAACAGCGAUUAACCAAGAGACUGCGUCCCAUGUGUUUAAUUAGUGAUUACCUACUAUGACUCAUUUGAAGGAAGAAGCUCAUUUCCCAUUACCCACCUAACUUUAAG